AAACAAAAAGUGAAGGCGACUGAUCAACAGCGUAUGGAUAGAUCAGCCAGAUUGUAGUACGCCGCUUUGAGCGUACGAAAAGCUGGAUGAACUAUACACUAGCUGUUAGGAGCUGUAACUGGAUUUCGNCCUCCUUUCCGUUUGAACGACGGGGGGACGCAGAAGGAUAAGGAAUGCGCACUGCUGGUCAUGUGCGUUCAAGCAGUAAGAGAGUCAGAUAGGCAAAUCCGUCUGGCAAUCUCAAGCUGUGAUGAGGAGGGAAAAUAAGUACCGAAGUUCCUGAUUUCACACUGCCAAGAAAAGCCUCUAGUGAGGAAAGAGGUGCCCGUACCGCAAACCGACACAGGUAGGCGAGGAGAGAAUCCUAAGGUGAUCGGGAGAACUCUCGUUAAGGAACUCGGCAAAAUGACCCCGUAACUUCGGGAGAAGGGGUGCUUCUUUUGCGAGAAGCCGCAGUGAAUAGGCCCAAGCGACUGUUUAGCAAAAACACAGGUCUCUGCGAAGCCGUAAGGCGAAGUAUAGGGGCUGACACCUGCCCGGUGCUGGAAGGUUAAGGGGACGCGUUAGCCCUCGUGGCGAAGCGUUGAACCGAAGCCCCAGUAAACGGCGGCCGUAACUAUAACGGUCCUAAGGUAGCGAAAUUCCUUGUCGGGUAAGUUCCGACCCGCACGAAAGGUGCAACGACUUGGGCACUGUCUCAACGAGAGACCCGGUGAAAUUAUACUAUGCGUGAAGAUGCGCAUUACCCGCGACAGGACGGAAAGACCCCGUGGAGCUUUACUGUAGCCUGAUAUUGAAUGUUGGUACAGCUUGUACAGGAUAGGUGGGAGCCUUAGAAACCGGAGCGCUAGCUUCGGUGGAGGCGCCGGUGGGAUACCACCCUGGCUGUACGGACCUUCUAACCCAGGACCGUGAUCCGGUCCGGAGACAGUGUCAGGUGGGCAGUUUGACUGGGGCGGUCGCCUCCCAAAGAGUAACGGAGGCGCCCAAAGGUUCCCUCAGAAUGGUUGGAAAUCAUUCGCAGAGUGUAAAGGCAGAAGGGAGCUUGACUGCGAGACCUACAAGUCGAGCAGGGACGAAAGUCGGGCUUAGUGAUCCGGCGGUGCCGUAUGGAAGGGCCGUCGCUCAACGGAUAAAAGCUACCCCGGGGAUAACAGGCUUAUCUCCCCCAAGAGUCCACAUCGACGGGGAGGUUUGGCACCUCGAUGUCGGCUCAUCGCAUCCUGGGGCUGUAGUCGGUCCCAAGGGUUGGGCUGUUCGCCCAUUAAAGCGGUACGCGAGCUGGGUUCAGAACGUCGUGAGACAGUUCGGUCCCUAUCCGUCGUGGGCGUUGGAAGUUUGAGAGGAGCUGUCCUUAGUACGAGAGGACCGGGAUGGACACACCGCUGGUGUACCAGUUGUUCCGCCAGGAGCAUAGCUGGGUAGCUACGUGUGGAAGGGAUAAGUGCUGAAAGCAUCUAAGCAUGAAGCCCCCCUCUAGAUGAGACUUCCCAUCAUUUCAAAUGAGUAAGAUCCCUCAGAGACGAUGAGGUUGAUAGGUCCGAGGUGGAAGCGUGGUGACACGUGCAGCUGACGGAUACUAAUCGAUCGAGGACUUAACUUA
Molecule: ribosomal RNA, 1603 nt
Filed under: Virgibacillus senegalensis
Lineage: Bacteria; Bacillati; Bacillota; Bacilli; Caryophanales; Bacillaceae
Description: bacterial LSU rRNA
Rfam family: Bacterial large subunit ribosomal RNA
Source: RNAcentral